GCCUCUGUGAUGGAAUUGGUAGACAUGACAGAUUCAAAAUCUGUUGCUCUUUGGGCGUGCCAGUUCGAGUCUGGCCAGAGGUACCA
RNAcentral lists this transfer RNA (86 nucleotides) under Alphaproteobacteria bacterium. Its description in RNAcentral is "tRNA-Leu". It matches the Rfam family "tRNA". From Rfam's summary of the family: Transfer RNA (tRNA) molecules are approximately 80 nucleotides in length. Their secondary structure includes four short double-helical elements and three loops (D, anti-codon, and T loops). Further hydrogen bonds mediate the characteristic L-shaped molecular structure. tRNAs have two regions of fundamental functional importance: the anti-codon, which is responsible for specific mRNA codon recognition, and the 3' end, to which the tRNAs corresponding amino acid is attached (by aminoacyl-tRNA synthetases). tRNAs cope with the degeneracy of the genetic code in two manners: having more than one tRNA (with a specific anti-codon) for a particular amino acid; and 'wobble' base-pairing, i.e. permitting non-standard base-pairing at the 3rd anti-codon position. Lineage: Bacteria; Pseudomonadati; Pseudomonadota; Alphaproteobacteria. The record is from RNAcentral.